GCAGGAGUGGCGGAAUGGCAGACGCGACAGACUCAAAAUCUGUUAUGGGCAACCAUGUGUGGGUUCGAGCCCCAUCUCCUGUA
This 83-nucleotide transfer RNA is filed under the name Lachnospiraceae bacterium. Its description in RNAcentral is "tRNA-Leu". It matches the Rfam family "tRNA". Rfam says of the family: Transfer RNA (tRNA) molecules are approximately 80 nucleotides in length. Their secondary structure includes four short double-helical elements and three loops (D, anti-codon, and T loops). RNAcentral also lists the same sequence under 1 other name. The record is from RNAcentral. Lineage: Bacteria; Bacillati; Bacillota; Clostridia; Lachnospirales; Lachnospiraceae.